Molecule: long non-coding RNA, 1112 nt
Organism: Amphiprion ocellaris (clown anemonefish)
Lineage: Eukaryota; Metazoa; Chordata; Actinopteri; Pomacentridae
Source: Ensembl
AUUAAAAAUGAAAAUCUACAGACAGAAAAACUGGAUCUGGAAGCUAAAAAUGAUGAUCUCCAGUUGGUAAGUAAUGCUAAGAAACAGCAGAAGAAGAGAUUCUUCUGCUGUUUCAAGAGUGAGAGAGGAGGACAAAAUGGUAAAAAAAAAGUAAAGAAAGAGAAGAGGAAGAAGGUGGGUUGCUGGAGCUGGAUGUUCUAAACUUCCUUUCUCCAACUUCUUAUCAAAAAAUGAAAAAAAAAAUGAAACUCUCCAGAAAGAAAAACUGGAUCUGGAGAUUAAAAAUGAAAAUCUACAGACAGAAAAACUGGAUCUGGAAGCUAAAAAUGAUGAUCUCCAGUUGGUAAGUAACGCUAAGAAACAGCAGAAGAAGAGAUUCUUCUGCUGUUUCAAGAGCGAGAGAGGAGGAGAAAGUGGUAAAAAAAAAGUAAAGAAAGAGAAGAGGAGGAAGGUGGGUUGCUGGAGCUGGAUGUUCUCAACUUCCUUUCUCCAACUUCUUACCAAAAAAUGAAAAAAAAAAAGAAAAUCUCCAGAAAGAAAAACUGGAUCCAGAGAUUAAAAAGGAAAAUCUACAGACAGAAAAACUGGAUCUGGAAGCUAAAAAUGAUGAUCUCCAGUUGGUAAGUAAUGCUAAGAAAAAGCAGAAGAAGAGAUUCUUCUGCUGUUUCAAGAGUGAGAGAGGAGGAGAAAAUGGUAAAAAAAAAGUAAAGAAAGAGAAGAGGAAGAAGGUGGGUUGCUGGAGCUGGAUGUUCUAAACUUCCUUUCUCCAACUUCUUACCAAAAAAUGGAAAAAAAAAAUGAAAAUCUCCAGAAAGAAAAACUGGAUCCAGAGAUUAAAAAGGAAAAUCUACAGACAGAAAAACUGGAUCUGGAAGCUAAAAAUGAUGAUCUCCAGUUGGUAAGUAAUGCUAAGAAACAGCAGAAGAAGAGAUUCUUCUGCUGUUUCAAGAGUGAGAGAGGAGGAGAAAAUGGUAAAAAAAAAAAAGUAAAGACAGAGAAGAGGAAGAAGGUGGGUUGCUGGAGCUGGAUGUUCUAAACUUCCUUUCUCCAACUUCUUACCAAAAAAUGAAAAAAAAAAUGAAACUCUUCAGAAAGAAAAACUGGAUCUGGAG